AGACAGGCAGUCACAAGCCUGGGGACUGCAGGCACAGUGAGGAAGGUAGGGAAGGGUCUCUCCAAGACAGGCCCACCAGGAGCCCCCACUGGGAAUAAUGCAGCCCCUCUCAGGGGAUGGAGUGUCUGGAAUUCCAUGGCUGAGGUGCAACAGGUGACUGAAGGUUUGAGGAGGCAACGCUGCCACUCACAGUCAGAAGCAGAGGGGAUGAGAUGGCCAGAUGUGAUUGGAAUCAGACACAGUGAGGUUUGAAUCCUCACUCUGUCCUUUUUGUUGUGUGGCCUGUGUGACAGGUCCCACAGCCUCUCCAGCCUCUGUGGGAAGAAGGAUCAUCUGAUGCCUAUGUAAUAGAGUUGCUGAAGGAGUGGAAGCAGCUUUGACAUUAUCAGUGGAACCCACCAGUGCAGACUGCUUCACCAAGGGCACCUGAGGCAGCAGAUCUGAGGAUUAGGGACGUAGGGAGCUGAAGCCUGGCUGGAGAGGUGGUGCGCACAAGAACCCCCACAUUCCCCGACAGGAGCCUGAAAAAGCAAGACGCCAUGUUGGGAGGACACGGAAGCAGUUCUAGGGAGAGGAGCACAUGGCAAGAAGCCAAGGCCUCCUGCCCACAGCCGCCUAGUUUCUUUUGCAGAUACCCUGUGAUUGCCAGCAAGUAAACCAGAUGCAAUUGUGGUUUCCGUGAAGCACAGCUGGAAAACUGCUGCCCCCACGGAGGAAGAGGAAGAUGGGAAGAUGGUGGUUACUGCACACCAGGCACCAGCCUCGGGGCUAUGAGCUGUACAAACAUUACCCAUUUUAUCCUCGUGACCAUGUUCUGAGAAGGCUGUCAAUGAUCUCACUUUAUACAUGGGGAAAUUCAUGCAGACAGAGGCUGACUAAAUUGCCAUGGUCACUCAGCUAGUAGGAACUGGAGCUGUAACUUGAACCCGGGUCUUUUGUUUCUGUGGCUCCUGGUAGCACAUGCCGGGCUUGAAGUGAGAUCCGGAGGAUGUUGGAAACAACGUGUUCCCCAUCAUGAAAGUCCUUAUGAUACCUUAUGAUGCAGAGUUGGCAGCCAGGAGCAGGGGCUUCCAGAAGCAUGGCUGACCCUUGUUGGGAUCUCGCUCCUGUGAGCCUUGGAACGUCUAGGGAGAAAGAGCAGCCAAAUUUAGAGCUGCAGGAGCUUUGAGAUGCAGCUCAGGCAUCAUCUCUGGGAAGUCUUUCCUGGAACCACAGCCUGGGCCCUGUACCUGAUUCCCAGCCCCUGUGGCUCUUUUUGCAUUUGCUGCCUCUUUUCACAAUUCUGUCUCCUUAUGUCUUCCACUCUACACGCAAGCCCCUUGAGGGCAGGACCAUGACUCAGUCAUCCUGUACCCUAGCACCCACCCUGGGUCUGCAUCUGGAAGGAGCUCACUAAGUGAUUAUUGAGCCAAACUGAACUGUAGCAGGAGUGAGCAAAGCUAAUUCAUGGGUGCAGAAUGGGAGCACAGAGCUGCCAGAAUCCAGAGACAACUGUAACUGUCCCGGCACAGGGGGCUUCAGGCCGCGGUGAGAGCCACUGAAAGCAAGAGAGCCAGGUGGUGGCUCAGUUCACACUGAGUCCUGCUGAAGAAAUAGGCACAUCGUGUGUGUUAAAAUCAGCACCCCAUGCACCUGUAGGAAGAGACUGAGGCACCCUGGAGGCCCCUCCCAAUAAUUAAAAGGCCCUCUGGGGCCUGUGGGAGCCCUAGCUGAUGAAAUCACAAAGGCCUCAGCCUCUAAAGUGUUUCCAGUAAAAUGCUACCAGGAUUUUCCUCCCUUAAAUCUGGAUGAAAGGGCUGUCUGUGCUACAAAGUGCACACCUGGCGUUGAUACGCAGUCUCUUGCUGCCUGUUAACUAACCCACCAGCCGACAAGUUCUGCCCACUGGCAGGAGCAAGGACUUAUAAAAAAUAGUGCCUCCCUCCCAAGGGCUUAUGAGCUGGUUAAGUGCAGAGGACAAAUAGAAUGAAAGAAAAGGCAAUCUCGGCAUAGUAUUUAGUUAAUUCUUCUCUCUCUCUUGUUCCCUCUCUCUCCUUUCUCUCUUCCUCCCUCCUUUCUAUGACUUGUCCUCUCCACACAACUCCUUUUCCGUUUUCCCUCCCCUGCCUCCCCACCUUCUUUCUUGACUUCCCAUCUUGCUCCCUUUCUUCCUGCCUGCCCAUCUGCUUUCCUUUCUUAUCUCUGGUGCAAAUUCUGCAUAUAGUCGCUCUCCUCAUUUCAUGACAGGCUGUCUUCAUCAGUUUCUGAGUUCUUUUGUUAUUUUAUAAAAUAUUUUACAUGCUGUCCUCAAAAAAUCCCCUCCCCCAGAAAAGGCCCAUUCAAAAGUACUUACUAUACGUCCUUAGAUAGGCAAUGAUCUCUGAAAUAUAUAUAGGCUUGCUCUAUAUGUGUUUUUGUAAGUGUACUUUUCUUUCAUUAAAUAUGCAGAUCUUAAUUGUACA
Long non-coding RNA from Homo sapiens (human), 2441 nucleotides. NCBI's taxonomy places the organism in Eukaryota, Metazoa, Chordata, Mammalia, Primates, Hominidae. The record is from Ensembl.